Molecule: unclassified non-coding RNA, 299 nt
Filed under: Hevea brasiliensis (rubber tree)
Lineage: Eukaryota; Viridiplantae; Streptophyta; Magnoliopsida; Malpighiales; Euphorbiaceae
Source: RNAcentral
GAGAGAGAGAGAGAGAGAGAAAAUAAUGGUGUAGCUUAGUGGCUCAAAAAUAAUUGUUUGGUCUUGUGUUCAAUAACUGUUGCUGCCCAUUGUAAAAUUUAUUUUUGAGUAGAUCAAACCGGUUCAAACCUGGCCGGGUUUUCAGUUGGCCGGCUACCCGGUCAGUUCAAACUGGUUUUUUCCAAUUCUCAUAAAUAAUGGCUUAAUAUCUAAACCGGACCAGACCAUGGUCCGAUUCCGAUUAAAUCGGUUUAAUUUUCAAAACUACGAGGUUAGGUAUAAAAAAUAAUUAUGGAACU